Molecule: ribosomal RNA, 525 nt
Filed under: uncultured bacterium
Lineage: Bacteria
Description: bacterial SSU rRNA
Rfam family: Bacterial small subunit ribosomal RNA
Source: RNAcentral
AUCCAGAGAAUUUAGCAGAGAUGCUUUAGUGCCUUCGGGAACUCUGAGACAGGUGCUGCAUGGCUGUCGUCAGCUCGUGUUGUGAAAUGUUGGGUUAAGUCCCGNAACGAGCGCAACCCUUAUCCUUUGUUGCCAGCACGUAAUGGUGGGAACUCAAAGGAGACUGCCGGUGAUAAACCGGAGGAAGGUGGGGAUGACGUCAAGUCAUCAUGGCCCUUACGAGUAGGGCUACACACGUGCUACAAUGGCGCAUACAAAGGAGAAGCGACCUCGCGAGAGCAAGCGGACCUCAUAAAGUGCGUCGUAGUCCGGAUUGGAGUCUGCAACUCGACUCCAUGAAGUCGGAAUCGCUAGUAAUCGUAAAUCAGAAUGUUACGGUGAAUACGUUCCCGGGCCUUGUACACACCGCCCGUCACACCAUGGGAGUGGGUUGCAAAAGAAGUAGAUAGCUUAACCUUCGGGAGGGCGUUUACCACUUUGUGAUUCAUGACUGGGGUGAAGUCGUAACAAGGUAAGCGUAGUGCU